AUUGAACGCUGGCGGCAGGCCUAACACAUGCAAGUCGAACGGUAACAGGAAGAAGCUUGCUUCUUUGCUGACGAGUGGCGGACGGGUGAGUAAUGUCUGGGAAACUGCCUGAUGGAGGGGGAUAGCUACUGGAAACGGUAGCUAAUACCGCAUAACGUCGCAAGACCAAAAAGGGGGACCUUCGGGCCUCUUGCCAUCGGAUGUGCCCAGAUGGGAUUAGCUAGUAGGUGGGGUAACGGCUCACCUAGGCGACGAUCCCUAGCUGGUCUGAGAGGAUGACCAGCCACACUGGAACUGAGACACGGUCCAGACUCCUACGGGAGGCAGCAGUGGGGAAUAUUGCACAAUGGGCGCAAGCCUGAUGCAGCCAUGCCGCGUGUAUGAAGAAGGCCUUCGGGUUGUAAAGUACUUUCAGCGGGGAGGAAGGGAGUAAAGUUAAUACCUUUGCUCAUUGACGUUACCCGCAGAAGAAGCACCGGCUAACUCCGUG
Molecule: ribosomal RNA, 490 nt
Filed under: uncultured bacterium
Lineage: Bacteria
Description: partial 16S ribosomal RNA
Rfam family: Bacterial small subunit ribosomal RNA
Source: RNAcentral